RNAcentral lists this ribosomal RNA (565 nucleotides) under uncultured organism. RNAcentral describes it as "bacterial SSU rRNA". It matches the Rfam family "Bacterial small subunit ribosomal RNA", at positions 85 to 663 of the family's 1533-position model. The record is from RNAcentral.
AAAAGUUUUAGUGGCGGACGGGUGAGUAAUACGUAGAUAAUCUACCUCUUAGAGGGAAAUAACAAGAAGAAAUUUUUGCUAAUGUCCCAUAAGACCACACUGUGGCAUCGCAGAGUGAUCAAAGGAGUAAUCCGCUAAGAGAUGAGUCUACGGCUGAUUAGCCAGUUGGUGGGGUAAUGGCCUACCAAAGCUAUGAUCAGUAGCCGAGCUGAGAGGCUGGCCGGCCACAUUGGGACUGAGACACGGCCCAGGCUCCUACGGGAGGCAGCAGUUGGGAAUAUUGGACAAUGGAGGAAACUCUGAUCCAGUGACGCCGCGUGAAGGAAGAAGGUCUUCGGAUUGUAAACUUAUUUUGUCAGGGAAGAAACAAAUGACUGUACCUGAAGAAAAAGCACCGGCUAACUACGUGCCAGCAGCCGCGGUAAUACGUAGGGUGCAAGCGUUAUCCGGAUUUACUGGGUGUAAAGGGCGAGUAGACGGCGAUGCAAGUCAGAUGUGAAAUGCUAGAGCUUAACUUUAGAACUGCAUCUGAAACUGUAUUGCUAGAGUGCAGGAGAGGUAAGCG